GUGCCAGCCGCCGCGGUAAUACGGAGGGUGCGAGCGUUGCCCGGAAUCACUGGGCGUAAAGGGCGCGUAGGUGGCACAGCAAGCGUGCGGUGAAAGCCCGGGGCUCAACUCCGGGUCGGCCGUGCGAACUGCGGUGCUGGAGCAUGGUAGAGGCAGGUGGAAUUCCGGGUGUAGCGGUGGAAUGCGUAGAGAUCCGGAAGAACACCGGUGGCGAAGGCGGCCUGCUGGGCCAUGGCUGACACUGAGGCGCGACAGCGUGGGGAGCAAACAGGAUUAGAUACCCUGGUAGUCC
This 292-nucleotide ribosomal RNA is filed under the name uncultured bacterium. RNAcentral's name for it is "partial 16S ribosomal RNA". It matches the Rfam family "Bacterial small subunit ribosomal RNA", at positions 505 to 796 of the family's 1533-position model. The record is from RNAcentral.